Molecule: small nuclear RNA, 62 nt
Filed under: Phascolarctos cinereus (koala)
Lineage: Eukaryota; Metazoa; Chordata; Mammalia; Diprotodontia; Phascolarctidae
Description: U7 small nuclear RNA (ENSPCIG00000008727.2)
Rfam family: U7 small nuclear RNA
About the family: Animal histone pre-mRNAs are spliced by a different mechanism than nuclear pre-mRNAs and self-splicing introns.
Source: Rfam by way of RNAcentral
UAGUGAUACAGCUCUUUCAGAAUUUGUCUAGUAGGUUUUCUGGGUUUUGCCGGGCAGCCUUC